CGUCUAGGCGGGGAAUUAAGUUAGGUGUGAAAUCCCUGGGCUCAACCCAGGAACUGCAUCUAAAACUGGUUCUCUUGAGUUCGGGAGAGGAGAGCGGAAUUCCCGGUGUAGCGGUGAAAUGCGUAGAUAUCGGGAAGAACACCAGUGGCGAAGGCGGCUCUCUGGCCUAGAACUGACGCUGAAGCGCGAAAGCGUGGGGAGCGAACGG
This 208-nucleotide ribosomal RNA is filed under the name uncultured bacterium. RNAcentral's name for it is "partial 16S ribosomal RNA". It matches the Rfam family "Bacterial small subunit ribosomal RNA", at positions 568 to 775 of the family's 1533-position model. The record is from RNAcentral.